GGAGAAUAUUAAUGGUGCCAGUGGAGUUUUUUUGUUUUUGUUUUUUUUUUUUUGUAUUUUGUUAUUUUUUUUGUUUAAUUCCAGAAAAUGACCAAAGAUCAUUUGGUAGAAGAGAAAGCUUCUCUUCAGAAAAGUCUUCUUUACUAUGAAAGUCAACAUGGAAGGCCGGUAAUAUCUCUCUUGCUAAAAAGAUUUGAUUUUAUGUCUUAAAAAAGAACAUGAAUCAAUUUUGUGGCCUACAUUCUUCAGGGCUGUUUUUUGAGCAUUAUUUCCUACAAUUGGGGGAUUGCCUAUGUAUUUAAUAUAAAAUUUGAAAUUGGGCGAAUAAGUCAUUGUUUAAUGUUUUGGACAUUUUAGAUUUGUGAUGACUAGACAAUUUCUUUUUUUUCUUGCUUCAGGUGACCAAGGAAGAAAGGCACAUUGUUAAACCUCUCUAUGAUAGAUACAGGCUUGUAAAACAAAUGCUGACAAGAGCUAGCAUCACUCCUGUCCUUGGAUCUCCAUCCACCAAGCGAA
Molecule: long non-coding RNA, 516 nt
Filed under: Homo sapiens (human)
Lineage: Eukaryota; Metazoa; Chordata; Mammalia; Primates; Hominidae
Description: non-protein coding lnc-NME5-4:1
Source: RNAcentral